Triticum urartu is the source of this 210-nucleotide non-coding RNA. The record is from RefSeq and is a predicted model, not a curated record. NCBI's taxonomy places the organism in Eukaryota, Viridiplantae, Streptophyta, Magnoliopsida, Poales, Poaceae.
AUUCAACUUCAAGAGUCUGUUUGCGAAAACAUACCCAAAUUGCAUCGCAUUCAACAUAAAAGAAUUUGACUACCGUUUUGUUCCAGUACCCCAGACUCAUUUCAGGUACGACACCGGCAUAUUCCUCCUGCAAAUUCUAAAAACAUACCGGGGGAUGGGAGUGCCAGGAUUCACAACUCAUGACCUACAGGCCUUAAGAGAAAUUUUUCU